This 254-nucleotide ribosomal RNA is filed under the name uncultured bacterium. RNAcentral's name for it is "partial 16S ribosomal RNA". It matches the Rfam family "Bacterial small subunit ribosomal RNA", at positions 524 to 776 of the family's 1533-position model. The record is from RNAcentral.
UACGGGGGGAGCAAGCGUUGUUCGGAUUUACUGGGCGUAAAGGGCGCGUAGGCGGCCACCGCCAGUCGAUUGUGAAAUCUCCGGGCUUAACCCGGAAAGGUCACCCGAUACUGCGGGGCUAGAGAGCGGAAGGGGCAACUGGAAUUCUUGGUGUAGCGGUGAAAUGCGUAGAUAUCAAGAGGAACACCUGCGGCGAAGGCGGGUUGCUGGGCCGACACUGACGCUGAUGCGCGAAAGCUAGGGGAGCGAACGGG